Molecule: transfer RNA, 67 nt
Filed under: Melipona bicolor
Lineage: Eukaryota; Metazoa; Arthropoda; Insecta; Hymenoptera; Apidae
Rfam family: tRNA
About the family: Transfer RNA (tRNA) molecules are approximately 80 nucleotides in length. Their secondary structure includes four short double-helical elements and three loops (D, anti-codon, and T loops).
Source: Rfam by way of RNAcentral
AAUAUUAUGUCUGAAAAAGAAGUAAAUUGUAAAUUUACAUAUAAAGAUUAAAAUUCUUUUAAUAUUA